Mycena galericulata is the source of this 93-nucleotide non-coding RNA. The record is from the annotation of a GenBank genome assembly. NCBI's taxonomy places the organism in Eukaryota, Fungi, Basidiomycota, Agaricomycetes, Agaricales, Mycenaceae.
GGCUCGGUGGCGGAUGGUUCGCGUUUGUAUUAUGUGGCGCGGAAUCCUGGUUACAUCAAGCAGAAGCUGCUCGUUCGAUUCGAGCCCGGGCCC